AGAAUCCAGUGAACCAUCGAGUCUUUGAACGCAAGUWGCGCCCAAAGCCAUUAGGCCGAGGGCACGUCUGCCUGGGCGUCA
This 81-nucleotide ribosomal RNA is filed under the name Loropetalum chinense. RNAcentral's name for it is "partial 5.8S rRNA". It matches the Rfam family "5.8S ribosomal RNA", at positions 76 to 154 of the family's 154-position model. Rfam says of the family: 5.8S ribosomal RNA (5.8S rRNA) is a component of the large subunit of the eukaryotic ribosome. It is transcribed by RNA polymerase I as part of the 45S precursor that also contains 18S and 28S rRNA. Lineage: Eukaryota; Viridiplantae; Streptophyta; Magnoliopsida; Saxifragales; Hamamelidaceae. The record is from RNAcentral. RNAcentral also lists the same sequence under 1 other name.